GUGGGGAAUAUUGGACAAUGGGCGAAAGCCUGAUCCAGCCAUGCCGCGUGUGUGAAGAAGGUCUUCGGAUUGUAAAGCACUUUAAGUUGGGAGGAAGGGCAGUAAGUUAAUACCUUGCUGUUUUGACGUUACCGACAGAAUAAGCACCGGCUAACUUCGUGCCAGCAGCCGCGGUAAUACGAAGGGUGCAAGCGUUAAUCGGAAUUACUGGGCGUAAAGCGCGCGUAGGUGGUUUUGUAAGUUGGCGGUGAAAUCCCCGGGCUCAACCUGGGAACUGCCUCCAAAACUGCAUGACUAGAGUACGGUAGAGGGUAGUGGAAGUUCCUGUGUAGCGGUGAAAUGCGUAGAUAUAGGAAGGAACACCAGUGGCGAAGGCGACUACCUGGACUGAUACUGACACUGGGGUGCGAAAGCGUGGGGAGCAAACAGGAUUAGAAACCCGAGUAGUCC
RNAcentral lists this ribosomal RNA (450 nucleotides) under uncultured bacterium. Its description in RNAcentral is "bacterial SSU rRNA". It matches the Rfam family "Bacterial small subunit ribosomal RNA", at positions 354 to 796 of the family's 1533-position model. The record is from RNAcentral.